AUGAUUGGUAACAUUAGCUGUAGAUUAAAAACUCUUAAGUGCAUAAUUCAAUCAAUACGAGAGGAAAAAAUAGUUCAUGCUCAAUUAAUAAAACUCUAAUGUCUACAACAAACGAUCUAAUAUGCAGUUUAAAAACUAUUUCAUAAUCAAAUUAAUAUGACAUGAACAUAAAAGAAAACCAGACCAGUUGAACUUGUGUAAUAUUAAGCGUAACAUAUUAUUGGUUUUCUUUUAAUCCAUGGAACUAGUGUUCAUAAUCAAAUUUCAUUGUAUAUCAAUAAUAUAAAAGAAGACGAAG
This 298-nucleotide long non-coding RNA is filed under the name Brassica napus (rape). RNAcentral describes it as "long non-coding RNA (BNAP_LNC002510)". Lineage: Eukaryota; Viridiplantae; Streptophyta; Magnoliopsida; Brassicales; Brassicaceae. The record is from RNAcentral.